This is a non-coding RNA of Coturnix japonica (Japanese quail), 775 nucleotides long. NCBI's taxonomy places the organism in Eukaryota, Metazoa, Chordata, Aves, Galliformes, Phasianidae. The record is from RefSeq and is a predicted model, not a curated record.
GAAAGGUUUGCGCCGCGGUACCGGUGUGAUGGCAGCACCUGGCAAACACUGCUGGUGGGAUGCACAUUAACACAGUGCUAUGUCUGGCGUGCCUCUGCACAUCCUCAGACUGGAUCUGGGCUAAAGCAGAGCCUGCAAGGCCCUUCUGAAGGAACUCCACAGGAUUUGCAAGCAGCCUCACCUGUCAAUGAGCCAGCAAGGGAUUCAUCACAGUAUCUCUGUGAGGAAUGCUGCAUGGGAAGAAGAUCCACGCCUGUCACUGCAGAUGUGCUCCAGAUGUUGCAUCUCACUACUGUUAGCUCGGGAUGCCACUUUCCCUUGUUGUGCUAGCAAAGUGCACAGAAACCCUAACCUGCUCCAGUAGCCUCGCACUACCACUGUGUGCGGCACCGCUCGCCGUUAUUAGUAUGGCAAAUGGAACAAUAUUGAUUCAGAGGAUUUGUGGUUUACCAACAUCAUUUCCCUGUUAGCAUUCACACCAAUGCCUGACUCAUGAAUACACAUGAAGGCCCAAACAGUUUAAAGCAUGUGAACAUGUGAGAGCUGUUACUUUCUGUUGGCCCCACUGCUCCCAUGGGGCCACAUCCAGCACCCACUGGGCCGUUUGUGCUACCUGGAUCAUGGCCACCAAACCCUUGAUUUUGGAGGCCUCUAUCUGCCUUUGUAGCCCAGGUUUUGCAGGAUCUCCUUUAUCUCAGCAUGUGGUUGGAGAGUAACAGGCUGCCUGGCUCUUGACAAGUCAUCUAUGAAAUAUAGAUUGUGCUUUCACAUGCCA